RNAcentral lists this ribosomal RNA (253 nucleotides) under uncultured bacterium. RNAcentral describes it as "partial 16S ribosomal RNA". It matches the Rfam family "Bacterial small subunit ribosomal RNA", at positions 524 to 776 of the family's 1533-position model. The record is from RNAcentral.
UACGUAGGGUGCAAGCGUUAUCCGGAUUUACUGGGUUUAAAGGGUGCGUAGGCGGGCCUUUAAGUCAGUGGUGAAAGCUCCGAGCUUAACUCGGAAACUGCCAUUGAUACUAUUGGUCUUGAAUUCGGUCGAGGUUGGCGGAAUGUGUCGUGUAGCGGUGAAAUGCUUAGAUAUGACACAGAACACCGAUUGCGAAGGCAGCUAGCUAGACCGACAUUGACGCUGAGGCACGAAAGCGUGGGGAUCAAACAGG